This 623-nucleotide ribosomal RNA is filed under the name uncultured bacterium. RNAcentral describes it as "bacterial SSU rRNA". The stretch from base 1 to 541 matches the Rfam family "Bacterial small subunit ribosomal RNA", at positions 338 to 873 of the family's 1533-position model. The record is from RNAcentral.
CCUACGGGAGGCAGCAGUGGGGAAUUUUGGACAAUGGGGGCAACCCUGAUCCAGCAAUGCCGCGUGAGUGAAGAAGGCCUUCGGGUUGUAAAGCUCCUUUGUCAGGGAAGAAACACCGGCUCUAACACAGUCUGGGAAUGACGGUACCUGAAGAAUAAGCACCGGCUAACUACGUGCCAGCAGCCGCGGUAAUACGUAGGGUGCGAGCGUUAAUCGGAAUUACUGGGCGUAAAGCGUGCGCAGGCGGUUAUACAAGACAGGCGUGAAAUCCCCGGGCUUAACCUGGGAAUGGCGCCUGUGACUGUAUAGCUAGAGUGUGUCAGAGGGGGGUAGAAUUCCACGUGUAGCAGUGAAAUGCGUAGAUAUGUGGAGGAAUACCAAUGGCGAAGGCAGCCCCCUGGGAUAACACUGACGCUCAUGCACGAAAGCGUGGGGAGCAAACAGGAUUAGAUACCCUGGUAGUCCACGCCCUAAACGAUGCUGACUAGUUGUUCGGGAUUUACAUCCUGAGUAACGUAGCUAACGCGUGAAGUCGNGCGCCGNGGGAGGUAACGGUCGCGAGAGUAAACGUUACGAAGAAGUUAGAGGCGNGAGAGNGCGACGGACGACGACGAGGGAGGAGG